GAGAUUGUUGUUGUCACCUGCGUCAGGUAGCGUGGGUCAGUUGUCGUCGGGUGAAAGAGGAGGGAGGAACGCGCUCAGAGGUGUCCACUAUACUCUACUUUUCCUAUACGGUACAGGACAACCCCCUCGUUACUGCCUCCCUGAUCGUAAACAUUGACGGUAUUGAAGCUGUCCUCCGUUUGUGGGAUUUGGGGUCAUUUUUAUUAAAGAUGGAUCCAGUUGGUUGUGUUGAUUACUGUUGUGUUAAAGGUGUAGAAGACAAAGACCAGAUUGCUGCCUCGGUGAUCAUAAUUAAGGAUACAUGAAGUUCCUUGUGUCGUCCAUCGAGGACGGCGAUAUGAAGAUGCAGGACACAACAACCGUGAGAAUGUCUUCUGGCAAACGGGACUCUUGCUGCAACACAUUAGAAACCCAACUCUUUCUGCAGUUACAACUUACGGUCCGGGCUAGUCUCAUUGUGGUUUGUUUACUAGUUUUGAUUAAUUAUCUGGGUUCACAAUUUAAAAAUUAAGAGUAAUUAGUGUUAAUUAAUUGCCUUUGAAAUUAUUUAAGUAGGUUACGCUCUUACUUCGUAGUUUUAAAUGGCCUUUAUAUACACUCAUAAAUAUAGGCUAUUAGGGUGUUUACUGAGCUAGAAAAGCCAGGAAAUAUUACAAAUAAAUGUGGAAUUUUAUUUAAAUUCAGUUUAACUUCAAAAUGUUACGUUGCUAGAAAUUUUGCCAUAAAGUAAUGCUGUACUGUCACAUGUGAUGGUCUUAAAACAUAUACUUGAUUAAUUGAAGUAUGUAAGUCUUCAUAAACUAAAGCUGCACCAAUUUUAUACUUUUAUGUAUUUUCUACUUGUGCUCAUCAAGACUAGUCUUGCAGAGCACAACAAAUGUAUUACAAA
Long non-coding RNA from Homarus americanus (American lobster), 889 nucleotides. RefSeq lists it as uncharacterized. The transcript has 4 exons. Lineage: Eukaryota; Metazoa; Arthropoda; Malacostraca; Decapoda; Nephropidae. The record is from RefSeq and is a predicted model, not a curated record.